AUUGAACGCUGGCGGUAUGCCUUACACAUGCAAGUCGAACGGCAGCACGGGAGCUUGCUCCUGGUGGCGAGUGGCGAACGGGUGAGUAAAGUAUCGGAACAUGCCCUGAAGUGGGGGAUAACGUAGCGAAAGUUACGCUAAUACCGCAUAUUCUGUGAGCAGGAAAGCAGGGGAUCGCAAGACCUUGCGCUUUAGGAGUGGCCGAUAUCGGAUUAGCUAGUUGGUGAGGUAAAGGCUCACCAAGGCGACGAUCCGUAGCGGGUCUGAGAGGAUGAUCCGCCACACUGGGACUGAGACACGGCCCAGACUCCUACGGGAGGCAGCAGUGGGGAAUUUUGGACAAUGGGCGCAAGCCUGAUCCAGCCAUGCCGCGUGAGUGAAGAAGGCCUC
Molecule: ribosomal RNA, 390 nt
Filed under: uncultured bacterium
Lineage: Bacteria
Description: bacterial SSU rRNA
Rfam family: Bacterial small subunit ribosomal RNA
Source: RNAcentral